GUGCUCACAUUGCAGCACAAACACUAAAAUUAGACAAUAAACAGAAGACUAGCAUGGCCCCUGCACAGGAUGACAUGCAAAUUUGUAAAGCACUUCAUAUUUUU
This 104-nucleotide small nuclear RNA is filed under the name Castor canadensis (American beaver). The record is from RNAcentral. Lineage: Eukaryota; Metazoa; Chordata; Mammalia; Rodentia; Castoridae.